UAUUAAAGAAAAACCUAAAAAAUUAAUUUGACUCAUUCACUCGUAUUUUCUAAUCGCUCUAAUCAGAAAACCCUUUUACAAUGCUAAAAAACCACUCAUAUCUUUAUGUCUCGUCGUCCGCUGUCUGCCGCUCCAUCUUAUCUCGUUGUCCUCCCUGCAAUCAACAGUAAGGGGUUAUCGUCUGAAGCGGCAUCUUUUGUACGUGCGUCGCAGAUUUCACUUCCAGCACCAAUUUCAACUGGAACUAAGGUGCCUCCAGUAGUCAAUUAUUCCCCUCUAGCAUCGUUUAGUUGGGAUCAAAAUAAUGAAAAAGUAAAUGUUUGUAAAUCACGUAUAGUAAUUAUUGGAGACGUUUUUCAUGUUGUAUUCUUUUAAGUUUGUUUAAUUUUUUCAUUUUAUAUCGUGUUGUAGUAUAAUUUGUUAAAUGGGAGCUAAUUGAACCUACGAAGUUUUAUUGUAUUUCAUCUCAUUCUAUCAUGUUUUAUUGUA
Molecule: long non-coding RNA, 489 nt
Organism: Lathyrus oleraceus (garden pea)
Lineage: Eukaryota; Viridiplantae; Streptophyta; Magnoliopsida; Fabales; Fabaceae
Exons: 2
Source: RefSeq, a predicted model, not a curated record